Molecule: ribosomal RNA, 465 nt
Filed under: uncultured bacterium
Lineage: Bacteria
Description: partial 16S ribosomal RNA
Rfam family: Bacterial small subunit ribosomal RNA
Source: RNAcentral
CUACGGGUUGCUGCAGUGGGGAAUAUUGGACAAUGGGGGAAACCCUGAUCCAGCAAUGCCGCGUGUGUGAAGAAGGCCUGCGGGUUGUAAAGCACUUUCGGUUGGGAGGACUGCUUCUAGCACUAAUAUUGUUGGAAGUUGACGUUACCUUCAGAAGAAGCACCGGCUAACUCCGUGCCAGCAGCCGCGGUAAUACGGAGGGUGCAGGCGUUAAUCGGAAUUACUGGGCGUAAAGCGCGCGUAGGGGGCUAGAUCAGUCGGGUGUGAAAGCCCCGGGCUUAACCUGGGAACUGCAUCCGAUACUGUCUAGCUUGAGUACAGGAGAGGAGAGUGGAAUUCCACAUGUAGCGGUGAAAUGCGUAGAUAUGUGGAGGAACACCAAUGGCGAAGGCAGCUCUCUGGCCUGAUACUGACGCUGAGGUGCGAAAGCGUUGGGAGCAAACAGGAUUAGAUACCCCAGUAGUC